CUUUAACUGACAACUGAUGUUUCUCCAAUAGUUCAAAUAGCUUAUUCCUGGACUGACCCUAUUCCUCACAGUAAAACUCUCAAGGUUAUCUCAGCCAUCUGCCAAAACACUUUCUUUGCAGUCAGACCAUCAAAGGCAACCACGCCAACCAAUCAUCGCUCUAAUGCACUAGGAACUUUACUCACUGAAUUGAGAAAUAAACUCAACACUUUAGCACUUUAGAUUGAUCUUGCCAUUUUUAUUCCACUGGAUCGUGCUACGUCAUCUUUUAUU
Hyla sarda is the source of this 273-nucleotide long non-coding RNA. RefSeq lists it as uncharacterized. The transcript has 3 exons. The record is from RefSeq and is a predicted model, not a curated record. NCBI's taxonomy places the organism in Eukaryota, Metazoa, Chordata, Amphibia, Anura, Hylidae.